Molecule: non-coding RNA, 23 nt
Filed under: Arabidopsis thaliana (thale cress)
Lineage: Eukaryota; Viridiplantae; Streptophyta; Magnoliopsida; Brassicales; Brassicaceae
Source: RNAcentral
UUUGUUCACCUUUUUUGGCCUCA